This 440-nucleotide ribosomal RNA is filed under the name uncultured bacterium. Its description in RNAcentral is "partial 16S ribosomal RNA". It matches the Rfam family "Bacterial small subunit ribosomal RNA", at positions 338 to 795 of the family's 1533-position model. The record is from RNAcentral.
CCUACGCGAGGCAGCAGUGGGGAAUAUUGCACAAUGGGGGAAACCCUGAUGCAGCGACGCCGCGUGAGUGAAGAAGUAUUUCGGUACGUAAAGCUCUAUCAGCAGGGAAGAAAAUGACGGUACCUGACUAAGAAGCCCCGGCUAACUACGUGCAAGCAGCCGCGGUAAUACGUAGGGGGCAAGCGUUAUCCGGAUUUACUGGGUGUAAAGGGAGCGUAGACGGCAGCGCAAGUCUGGAGGGAAAUCCCAGGGCUCAACCCUGGGACUGCUUUUGAAACUGCCGGGCUGGAGUGCAGGAGAGGUAAGCGGAAUUCCUAGUGUAGCGGUGAAAUGCGUAGAUAUUAGGAGGAACACCAGUGGCGAAGGCGGCUUACUGGACUGUAACUGACGUUGAGGCUCGAAAGCGUGGGGAGCAAACAGGAUUAGAUACCCUUGUAGUC